GUUGGAUACUGUGAGGCUAGACGGUCGGAGGGGGUAGCGGAAUUUCCGGAGUAGCGGUGAAAUGCGCAGAUACCGGAAGGAACGCCAAUAGCGAAGGCAGCUACCUGGACGACUUGUGACGCUGAGGCGCGAAAGCGUGGGGAGCAAACCGGAUUAGAUACCCGGGUAGUCCACGCCCUAAACCAUGAGUGCUGGGUGUCCGGCUUCUGCUGGGUGCCGUAGCUAACGCGCUAAGCACUCCGCCUGGGAAGUACGCACGCAAGUGUGAAACUCAAAGGAAUUGACGGGGGCCCGCACAAGCGGUGGAGCAUGUGGUUUAAUUCGAAGCGACGCGAAGAACCUUACCAGGCCUUGACAUGCCCGGAACCCCUCUGAAAGGAGGGGGUGCCCGCAAGGGAGCCGGGACACAGGUGCUGCAUGGCCGUCGUCAGCUCGUGUCGUGAGAUGUUGGGUUAAGUCCCGCAACGAGCGCAACCCCUAUCCCUAGUUGCCAGCAGUUCGGCUGGGCACUCUAUGGAGACUGCCUGCGAAAGCAGGAGGAAGGCGGGGAUGACGUCUGGUCCGCAUGGCCCUUACGGCCUGGGCGACACACGUGCUACAAUGCCAAGGACAGAGCGCUGCUACCUCGCGAGAGGACGCCAAUCGCAAAAACCUUGGCUCAGUUCGGAUUGGAGUCU
This 677-nucleotide ribosomal RNA is filed under the name uncultured Thermaceae bacterium. RNAcentral's name for it is "bacterial SSU rRNA". It matches the Rfam family "Bacterial small subunit ribosomal RNA", at positions 625 to 1306 of the family's 1533-position model. Lineage: Bacteria; Thermotogati; Deinococcota; Deinococci; Thermales; Thermaceae. The record is from RNAcentral.